RNAcentral lists this ribosomal RNA (373 nucleotides) under uncultured organism. Its description in RNAcentral is "bacterial SSU rRNA". It matches the Rfam family "Bacterial small subunit ribosomal RNA", at positions 526 to 896 of the family's 1533-position model. The record is from RNAcentral.
CGGAGGGUGCAAACGUUGUCCGGAAUCACUGGGCGUAAAGCGCACGUAGGUGGUUUGGCAAGUGAAAGAUUAAAGACCGAUGCUUAACAUCGGGCCGGUUUUUCAUACUGCCAGACUUGAGUAUAACAGGGGUAAGCGGAACUUUAGGUGUAGGAGUGAAAUCCGUAGAUAUCUAAAGGAACACCAAUGGCGAAGGCAGCUUACUGGGUUAUUACUGACACUGAGAUGCGAAAGUGUGGGGAGCACACGGGAUUAGAUACCCCGGUAGUCCACACUGUAAACGAUGCUGACUAGGUCUUGGAGGGUAUCGACCCCUUUUGGACCGAAGCUAACGCGUUAAGUCAGCCGCCUGGGGAGUACGAACGCAAGUUUA